GAACCACCUGACCCCAUGCCGAACUCAGAAGUGAAACGCUGUAGCGCCGAUGGUAGUGUGGCAUUCGCCAUGCGAGAGUAGGACACUGCCAGGC
This 94-nucleotide ribosomal RNA is filed under the name Aeromonas caviae. Lineage: Bacteria; Pseudomonadati; Pseudomonadota; Gammaproteobacteria; Aeromonadales; Aeromonadaceae. The record is from RNAcentral. RNAcentral also lists the same sequence under 2 other names.